GACGAACGCUGGCGGCGUGCCUAAUACAUGCAAGUCGAGCGGACUUUCAAGAAGCUUGCUUUUUGAAAGUUAGCGGCGGACGGGUGAGUAACACGUGGGCAACCUGCCUGCAAGACGGGGAUAACUCCGGGAAACCGGGGCUAAUACCGGAUAAUAUCUUCCUUCGCAUGAAGGAAGGUUGAAAGGCGGCGCAAGCUGCCGCUUGCAGAUGGGCCCGCGGCGCAUCAGCUAGUUGGUGAGGUAACGGCUCACCAAGGCGACGAUGCGUAGCCGACCUGAGAGGGUGAUCGGCCACACUGGGACUGAGACACGGCCCAGACUCCUACGGGAGGCAGCAGUAGGGAAUCCUCCGCAAUGGACGAAAGUCUGACGGAGCAACGCCGCGUGAGCGAAGAGGGUCUUCGGAUCGUAAAGCUCUGUUGUCAGGGAAGAACAAGUACCGUUCGAACAGGGCGGUACCUUGACGGUACCUGACCAGAAAGCCACGGCUAACUACGUG
RNAcentral lists this ribosomal RNA (499 nucleotides) under uncultured bacterium. RNAcentral describes it as "partial 16S ribosomal RNA". It matches the Rfam family "Bacterial small subunit ribosomal RNA", at positions 28 to 507 of the family's 1533-position model. The record is from RNAcentral.